AAAAGUAAAUUUUUUUUGGGUGCAAAGUAUCACAUGGAAUUCAAUUUUUUUUUAAUAAACGUACAAAUGAAGUGAUGAACCAAAAAAAAAGGGAAGAGGAAAGCAAGUAAAAUGGAUUGAACCCCGAGUAAUAUUUUACAUUUAUUCAUUCACCUUUUUUGAUUCUUCAAUACUUCAUGGUUUCGUAGAUUUUUGCUGGCUUACUGCAAAUAGUAGGAAAAGAAAGAAACAAGGGUGGCUCCAACCAAGGACCCAAGAACAGGCAUUGUUGAGGUUGCGACGUUGGAGUCUGGGCCUGGGGCAGCUGCUGAAGCUGAAGCUGAAGCUGCACCUGGAGCUGAAGCUGGAGCUGGAGCUGGAGCGGAGCCAGCAGCCAGGACCGCGCUCAUAGAGGCGGCAGCGACAAUGACGGCGCAGGAGAUCUUCUUCAUGUCCAUGGUAUUGAAGAAUAGGCUUAGUGAGAGUCGAGAGACCUUCUGCGAGAUGGAAAACAAAAUUUAUUAAUUUUGUUUUCUUUAUAUGUUUAUAUGUUAUUGUUCUUCACGCAGGUCUGAAGAACAAGGAUGAAGGUGAGGUGCAUUUUAUACGGGAAAUUCAUGUCUAUUUUAAGCAACAACUGGUUUCUCAUUAGCUUAAAAAUAGGCUUAUGUGUGGUUUUGCAUGUUUUGAGGAUUGAUAUUGACAUGCAUCAUCUUUAAAAAGUUAAAUUUUUAAUUUUCAAUUAAACCCUUACAUGAAACCAAAUGGGAAUUUACUUAAAUACCUUUUUUUUUAUAAAUAUAUAAAAAUAUAUAUUAUAAGUUAUGUCUUCUUUAUUUUUAGUUACAAAAGAAGUUAACUAUUGGUUCUACUAAACUUGUUCGAAAAGUAUGAGAGUUUGAGUAAGAAUAUAAACUCAAAAAAUAGAUUUGGACAAUAAAAAAAAGACCCGUUUAGAAAAUAGGCUGAACCUUAGGUAAGGUUUUUUAGCCUGAGCUCAACUCGACCCGAUCUAUGGAGACCUCUAAUUCCCACUUGUGCAUAUUGAAUAUAUUGAAUUGAAACGGUACGAUGAUAUAAUGAAUUGUUACAUUGAAUGGAUAAAUAAUGGAAACUAUGAAGCAUGAUGUUAUAUUGACAUUUAAGAAAUGGUGUGAUUGAUAUUUAAGGCUCCAUUUGUUUUACUGAAAAAAAAUGAUUUACUUUUUUUGAAAAGUUAAUAUUUUUUGGUGUUUGGAUAAAUCUGUGUAAAUUAUUUUCUUUUAUUUGACAGAUUUUUUAAAAAUAUUUUAUAUUUUAUAUUUUUUUUACAUAUAUUAAAAAUAUUUUGUUAAAUUCAGGUUCAUUAUAACCUCAUUUUUUAGUUGCAUGAUUACCAAGUGAGCAUUUUUUAUUUAAAAAUGUGAUAUCAACAAAAUUGACAAAAAAAUUAACAAUGUCAACAAUUGGACUUGAUUUUCAAAUAUGAAAAGAACAGAGGCUAAAUUCUUGAAAAUAAAAGUACAAAGACUAAAUUGCAAAUUUGUAAAGAGUACAUAGAGACUUAUGACAUAUUUUAACCUUUAUACUACAAAAUAUUUAUUAUUAAUAUAUUUAUAAUUGUAAUAAAUAUUUAUUAUUAAAAUAUUAAUAUUGAAUAUUUUCAAUAAUAUGUGAUGAAUAUUAUCUAAAAUUAUUAUUUUUAAAAUUUAUUAUUAAAUAAAAGUGAAAUAUUUAUUAAAAUAAUAAAUUAUAUUAAUUAUAUUAAUAAUUUAUUAUAUGACUAAAUAUAAAUAAUUAAAUAGGUAUGUUUAAUUAUAUUGAAAAAUAUAAUAUUUUAUAUUAAUAUUUUAAUAUUUUUAAAAAUAAAAAUAAAAAUUCUUAUUAAUAUAAGAAUAUUAAGCUUGAUUUAAGUUAAUUUUUUAUAUAAAAAUAAAAUUAUUUAUAGAGGAGCUCUUUUCCGAAAAAUAACUUGCGCUUUUCAAAAGGGUAAGUCAUUUUACAAGAAAAAUGACUUAUUUUCCGUUGACCAAACUAUUUUUUGUGAAACAAACACAAAAAAAUGUAGAAAACAUUUUCCGUAAAGCCUUUUACAUGUAAAUAAAUGGACCCUAAGUUAAAUUUGUAUUAUGUGCAAUUUGAUUGAACUUAAGUAUGAUAUUUGAAUUAUGAAAUUGAAUAUUGUGCCAUGUGUGCAUAUGUGUAACCAGUUUUUGAAAAUUCUCUAGUAAACCACUAUGAAUAAAUUUGGAUAUAAUUGGUAUGCUAACAAAACUUUAGUAGCAUUGUGUAUUAUAGUAUACUGAUAAAGCAAGAGAUUGAUGUUUACAUAUUUGCUUUAUUGCACUAUAUGCAUAAUUGGUGUGAUGGAGGACAUAUGAUUCAUGUUAUAUAUGUUAAUUGGUGUGAUGGAGGACUAUGUUUAAUCACAUGAGCCAUUGGUGUGAUGGAUGAAUUAUUUUGAAUAUCUAGAUUAACCCUUUUCUUACAUAUAAUGGUGAACAUGAUAAAUGUUAUACUUCCUAUCUAGAAGAGACACAUGAGACCACAAGAAGACAUAUAUGGAAUGAUCCUUCGUUUAUUUCCCGACCUAUACAAUACUUGGUAUAUUCUCCACCUAAGUGCUUGAACAGUUCUCUACCGCUCAAUUGGUUACUAGUGGAUCAAUCACUCAAGCAUCUUGUGAUAUCCCGAAUUAGGGCCUAAACGGAAUAGUAGUUUUGAAACCAUAAUUCUGAAGUAGAAAAAUUUAUUUCGAUUAAUUUUUAUAAUUUAUUGAGUGAUUAGAUGCAUGUGUUAGAAUAUCGAUAGAAAAUUUCAUGAAUUGCAUGUCUAAUUUGCCUAUUAGGACUUAAUUGCAAAAGUUAAUAAAUAUGAGCUUUAGAUGUUAAAGGAUUUAAUUCAAGAGCAUAAUUGAAGUAGAGGUCCUUAAAUGGAAUUAUACCAUUAGGUUUUCAUGGACAAAAGUGGACAUACAUAGGUAGAAAUAACCAAAGUUUUUAAUGAAGGGUAUUUUAGUCAUUUGAUAAUUAAAAGAUUAAAAAAAGGAAAAAGAUGGCAAAAUAUGUCCAUCUUCUUCAUUAGGACGAAAUUUCAAGGGUUCUCCAUAUUUAGGGUUUGUUUCAAGCUUCCAAUCUCCAUAGUAAGUGAUUCCAAGCCCCGUUUUUAAUGUUCUUUACGUUUUGGAGUCCCGGUAACUUGAUUUAGCUUAUUCUAGCAAUAAUUUAACCUAGGGUUUAUAUUUGGAAAAAUAUAUAUAGGUGAAAUGUGUUUAUUUUAAUGUUUUAUGGUAGAAUAUGAAGCUUUAAAUUGUGUUAAAUAACUUUUGCUAAACGAUUUUACGUGAAAAUGAGUAAAAUGACAUAAUCGGUAAAAAUACCUAAUGUUUAUAACUACAUGUUAGAGUGAGAAUUUGAUGUUUCCAUAGAAGAAAAAAAUGAUCAGCAUGUCAUAAAACAUAAUAAUUUUGGAAAAAAAAUUAAUUUUUUAGCUUCGGGGGCAAAAGUGUAAAUAUGCAAAAGUUUAGGGGCAAAAUCGUAAUUUUUCCAAACUUAGAGUUAAGGACUAUUUUGAUAAAUGUGAGUAUUAAAUCAGCUAAAUGUGUUAUUUUAGAUCAAGAAAGACGUGGAAUCGACCUUGAUCGGGGAAAGGAAAAGAUUGUGGACUAAAUUGCAAAAUUUCUUUAUUUUGUACCGAGGUAAGUUCAGGUGUAAAUGUAGUAACAUAAUUGUCAUUUUAAGUAAUUUAAUGUUAUUUAUAUGAUAUGAUGAUUAAUAUCAUGAAAUAUUAUGCUUUGUGGUUAUUAUUGAGUAAUAUGCAAAUUAUGUGUGCUACUUGUUGAAUAUGAAUUGCUACCGAGUAUCGGUUUCGAUAUUCUGUGGAAGACGGCAAAGAUGUGUGAUCGAGGAAAAAGCCUAUUUGAACCUUGGGAAUAGAUUAGAAUACAAGUGACAUGUCACUAGGAUAUUUGAGUUCCGAGCUCGUUGAGUUGAGUUCGAGUUCGUGAGAUGUAACUAGGCAUCCGAACUCGUUGAGUUGAGUCCGUGUUCACUUAUGGAUGCGAACGCCCGAGCUCGUUGAGUUGAGUCCGAGUUCACUUAUGGGUGGGUUACAUGGUAGCUUGACUAUAUAAUUUCCGCAGGCUAUUGAGUUUGUCUAGCUACGGGUAUGGCACUUAUGUGCAUGAAAUCCGUGUAUUCGAAUCAUAUUCCGAUGUGUUCAACGGGUAAAUUUUAAGUGGAUAAGGUGAGUACCUAAAACGAAAGUGACAUGUUGGUAAGUGUGGUGAAUGAGAAAAUUUGUACAGGUAUGUACUUUAACCCUCGGGUUGAGACUUCAAUAUAACAAUAAUAUGGUAGGAUCAUGAAUGAGAAAUAUGAUAUGAAUGCUUUGGUGAUAUUAUGCAAAUGUGGAUUUUGUAUUAUUGCAUAGUUAUGUUACUUGCUAUUUACAUGUGAACUUACUAAGCAAUUAUGCUUACUCCCUCCUCUCUAUUCUUUGUAGUUUUGUCAAGCCGGCUAGGAGAUCGGGAACGGUCGGAGGCGCGCUCACACUAUCAACAAACUAUUUCGGUAUAAUGACUUGUAUAUUUUGAGAAUAUGGCAUGUAUAGCAUUAUAAUCAUUUUGUGUAUAUAAUAUUAUGAUAUGGCUCAUGGAUGGCAUGGAAAUUUUUGAGAAUGAUUAGCUAUUGGAGUGGCUAAUCAAGAUUAUAUUUGAUAACACGUAUGCUUUAUGUGCUAACUAAUCUAUGGAAAUCCAUAAAAUAAAAUAGAAUCACAUAGCAGUAGUGACGUGAGUUUGAAAAAUUACUAAAAAUAGUAGAGAUAGAAUUAGAUGAUGAAUAAAAUAUGGAAUUGAAGCUUAAUGAAUCUAUUUUCAUGUGGAAGAAACAAAAUAGGUAAAAGAGUUAUAUUUUAUGAGAUAUUUACGUUUUUGUGAAACAGGGUCAGAGCAAUUUCUGGAUUCCCUGUUCUGACUUUAUAAAUUCAUCAUAAAUUGUGUAAAAAUAAUUAGGACUCAAAAUUUAUAUGUAUGGAUUCCUUAUUGAGUCUAUUUUUAAGAGAAACAAACUAAAUGGUCAUUGGAUCUCUGUACAGGAAGAAAUUUGAUUCGUAGUGCACAUGGGUUAGAGUAGCCGAACCCUGAAACAGGGGAGAAUUUAACUAAUAAACUGUACUAAUUGGCCUUGCCAAAAAUUCUAUAAAAAACUUAGUAAGUAGAUAUAUGAGUCUAGUUUCAGGAAAAAUUUACGAAAUUUGAUUUCUAGUUUCCUAACUCGAGAUAUGAUUUUUUUAGCGACUGUGAUACAGAUGGACAGUUUACUACGAGAAUUGUUUGAACUUGUUUAAAUGCUAAAAUAAGUUUAGUAAUGUCUCAUGUUCAACUCCGGCAACAGUCUCAGGUAAGGGGGCUUACACUUCUCAUCCUCCAGGUUACCCUCUUUUAGCUGGUGUUGCUCACCUCCAAAGUAUUAGACAUAACAACCUCAUACAGUCAAGGGAAUAUCAAAACAGUACCAUGCACGAGGGAAACCCACGCACAACAGCCUUGCCACCUGAUGAUCAUCAUGUCCUAGAUUUGUUGGUGACGUGAACUCACUGGGAACGAGACCUCCUCCCUAUAAAUACCUUGUAGAAAAAUGAAGGAUCGAUCCUUUAGCCUUUCAACAACCUUAAGCACUCUUUAACACUCAAUCCCCUUUGCUACCUCCUCCUCACUUACUUCCUUUAUUCGGCUCUUCGCCUAUUUAGACGAACUAGUUUUCCUUGCACCAUCACAUUCUCCUCCUUACCUCCUCCCUUAUUGACACUAUCAACAAUAACAUAUGUCUUAUAUUUACUUGAUUGCAUAAUAGGGUAAUUUAGAGUUUUCUUGAGCACCAUUAAGCCUAUAUGUAUGCUUAACGUAUGGAAUUCAAAUUUUUUGCGCAUGUUUCAAUUGAUACGAGACAAGAACCUCCAAGUUGCAUAAGAGAUUAAACCACUAUUUUUGUGUAAUUGUUUAAGAUUACUUGAUUAUAAUUUGGAUGUGUGUAUUGUAGAAACUCUAUUAUGACAUAUACUUAAGUUAGCAAGUGUUAAGAACCUUUCUUGGUUGUGUUAUGACUUAAAAGUAUUGUAUAUCAUGAGCUAAGUGGUAAUUUAGGUAUAUUUAAGCUUAUGAAAUUGCUCUUAAAAUGAAUGAAUGCAUGUGAAAUCAUGACAAAUGAAGUGCAUUUGGAUAUAAUGCAUGUCAUGUAAACUGUUGAUUUGGAGGUGUUACGCUAAUUAAAAGAAAAUAAAGAUGAUUUAAUUUAAUUUUUAAGUUGCUUUACUUUUAGGUACCGAUACUUAAUAUAUGGGUAUUGAUAUAAGAUGAGAUGGUAAUUAAACAGAUUUUGUAUAGGGGCAGUGUAUAGAUAUCAUAUCCCUUGGUAUCAUACCAUCUUACUUAAGCUACUAAUUCCAUCCCUAAUACUAAUAGGUAUAAUGAUUUAUUUAGCCUUCUAAUUUUAUAAAAAAAGUCUUUUUAAGCCUCUAUUUAAAUUUUAAUAAAAAAUAUUUUAGUCAUAAAAUGAGUUGAAACAAAAUGAAAACAAAAUACUUUUUAAAUAUCACCUGACUCCUUCAAUAUAUAUAGUGUAAUCAAAUUGAUUACUACCUUAAGCAUCGAAUCACGAUCAAUUCUUUUUUCAAAUCCUAUUGUGGCUCCGCAAGCUCUUCCCGUGUGCGAUAAAUAACCCACGAACAAAAACUUUAUCGUUCACUCUCUUAAACACUUUUUUUCUUUGAGAUUUUACUUUUAAAAUGAUUAUGUGGUAAUGUUUUGCUUUCUUUUAAAAUUUUCAUUUUAAAUUACACCACUUAAUAUUUGACAUUAAAUAUUUUAAUAAUGAAAGAACUAAAUUGAUAUCAAUUUUGAUAAUUUGAGGAUGUAAUUAGAACAUUUUAAUAAUUAAAAAUUAAUUUAAAAUAAGAGUUAUAGUUUGGAGAUAUUUAAAAUAUAUAAUUUUUUUUUUUCAAUUGCAAAGUAUCACAUGGAAUUCAACUUUUUUUUAUGAACGUACAAAUGAAGUGAUGAACAAAAAAAAGAAGAAAAGCAGGUAAAAAUGGAUUGAACCCCGAGUAAUAUUUUACAUUUAUUAAUCCCCCAUUUUUUAUUCUUCAACACUUCAUGCUUUCGUGUAUUCUUGCUGGCUUACUGCAAAUAGUAGGCAAAGAAAGAAACAAGGGUGGCUCCAACCAAGGACCCAAGAACAGGCAUUGUUGAGAUUGCGACGCUGGAGUCUGGGCCUGGGGCAGCUGCUGAAGCUGAAGCUGCACCUGGAGCUGAAGCUGGAGCUGGAGAUGGAGCGCCAGCAGCCAUGACUU
This 7308-nucleotide long non-coding RNA is filed under the name Gossypium barbadense (sea-island cotton). RNAcentral describes it as "long non-coding RNA (GBAR_LNC000944)". Lineage: Eukaryota; Viridiplantae; Streptophyta; Magnoliopsida; Malvales; Malvaceae. The record is from RNAcentral.